Molecule: ribosomal RNA, 253 nt
Filed under: uncultured bacterium
Lineage: Bacteria
Description: partial 16S ribosomal RNA
Rfam family: Bacterial small subunit ribosomal RNA
Source: RNAcentral
GACAGAGGGUGCAACCGUUGUUCGGAAUUACUGGGCGUAAAGCGCGUGUAGGCGGCUCGGAAAGUCGGAUGUGAAAGCCCUGGGCUUAACCUAGGAAGUGCAUUCGAAACUCCCGAGCUUGAGUUCUGGAGAGGAAGGCGGAAUUCUCGGUGUAGAGGUGAAAUUCGUAGAUAUCGAGAGGAACACCGGUGGCGAAGGCGGCCUUCUGGACAGUGACUGACGCUGAGACGCGAAAGCGUGGGGAGCAAACAGG